Camarhynchus parvulus is the source of this 4482-nucleotide long non-coding RNA. Lineage: Eukaryota; Metazoa; Chordata; Aves; Passeriformes; Thraupidae. The record is from Ensembl.
CUCCCAGUAUAUUGCAGUCCCUCCCAGUCCAUCCCAGUCCAUCCCAGUCCCCCCCACUCCCCUCCCAGUAUAUCCCAGUCCCUCCCAGUCCCUCCCAGUCCCUCCCAGUCCCUCCCAGUCCAUCCCAGUCCAUCCCAGUCCCUCCCAGUCCCUCCCAGUCCCUCCCAGUCCGUGCUGACCCCGCUCGAUUUCCCCCCCCAGGUUUGGGAGCCCAUGGGGGGCCCGGGGGGGGCCCUGGAGCAGCUGCAGCUCAGCAGGUGAGGGGGGGACCCCAAAAUGGGGGGGGGGCCCAAAAAUGUGAGGGGACCCCAAAAAUGGGGAGGGGAUCCCAGAAUGUGGGGGGGAUCCCAAAAAUGGGGAGGGGAAGACACGAAAUAUGGGGGGGGACUUUUGGGGUCACUUUUUGGGGUCCAGAGCUCCAUUUUGGGGUCCAAGGCUCAAUUUUUGGGGUUCAGAGGGGUCCAGGGCUCCAUUUUCGGGCUCCAGGGCUCCAUUUUCGGGGUCCAUUUGUGGGGUCCAAGGCUCCGUUUUUGGGGUUCAGAGGGGUGCAGGGUUCCAUUUUUUGUGUCCAGGGUCUAAUUUCGGGGUCCAGAGCUCCAUUUUCCUGGGGUGCAGAGCUCCAUUUUUGGGCUGCAGGGCUCAAUUUUUGGCGUCCAGGGCUCCAUUUUGGUGUCCAAGGUUCCAUUUUUGGGCUCCAAGGCUCCAUUUUCGGGCUCCAUUUUCAGGCUCCAUUUUUGGGCUCCAUUUUUGGGCUUCAGGGUUCCAUUUUUGGGGUUCAGAGGGGUCCAAGGCUCCAUUUUGGGCUCCUAGGCUCCAUUUUGGGCUCCAAGGCUCCAUUUUCGGGCUCCAUUUUGGGCUCCAAGGCUCCAUUUUUGGGGUCCAAGGCUCCAUUUUCGGGCUCCGUUUUUGGGGUCCAUUUUUGGUGUCCAGGGCUCCGUUUUCGGGCUCCAGAGUUCCAUUUUUGGGGUCCAAGGCUCCAUUUUCGGGCUCCAUUUUUGGGCUUCAAGGCUCCAUUUUUGGGGUCCAAGGCUCCAUUUUCGGGCUCCAUUUUGGGCUCCAAGGCUCCAUUUUCGGGGUUCAGAGCUCCAUUUUCGGGCUCCAUUUUGGGGUCCAAGGCUCCAUUUUGGGCUCCAAGGCUCCAUUUUUGGGCUCCAAGGCUCCAUUUUGGGGCUCCAUUUUGGGCUCCAAGGCUCCAUUUUGGGGCUCACCCCGUCCCUGUCCCCCUGGCGCGGGCCCAGGACCCAGGAGCCCGAAGUUGGUGGCCGAGGUUCGCGUGGCGGAGCCGGGGGGGCUGGCGGCCGCCUCGGGGCUCCUGCGCCGGGAACGGCCCUGGAGGGCCCCCAAAGCAGGUCACCUGCCCGGCUCCUCCUCCCGCCGCUGGCGCCUUCCCCGGGGUCCCCCAUCCCCCCCUGGCCCCCCCACCACCGGGACCCCCCUGGCUCCUCCCCUCCCCCACCGGACCCGCCGAGCCCCUCCCCCCACGCCCGGCCGGCCCCGCCGCCCCCGAGGACCCCGAGCGGCCGCUCCGGCCGGGGGGACCCCGGGGGGACCCCAACAGCAGCAGCAACAACAGCGCCCCCCGCAGCCCCCUGCAGCCAACCGGGACGAGCCCGGCCGCACCCACCCGCCGGAAAAAGCCGAUUCUUCCUCCUCUUCCUCCUCCUCCUCUUCCUCCUCUUCUUCUUCUUCCUCCCGCUCUUCCUCCUCGUCCGCCUCCUCUUCCUCGGGCCCACCCGGGCCCGUCUCGGCCCGGCCCCGCUCGCCUUGCCUGGAUAUUUAUGAUCCUUUCCACCCCACCGACGAGGAGAACCCGGGUUUGGGGGCGGAGGAGGAGGAGGAGGAGGAGCCCCGGAUUUUGGUUACGGCAGCGGCGCCGCCUCCUCUUCGUCGCCCGGCAAAGAGGCCGAAGGCCGGCAGGACCAGAAGUACGACCCCUUCGACCCCACGGGUUCCAACCCCAGCUCGUCCCGCAGCAGCCCCAGCCCUGAGGAGGAGGAGGAGGAAGAGGAGGAGGAGGAGGAGGAGGAGGAAGAGGAGGAGGAGGAGGAGGAAGAGGAGGAGGAGGAGGAGGAGGAAGAGGCGCCGGCGCUGCUGCCAGACGUUUCCCACAGCAUCAGCCGCAUCUCGGAGACCUUGGCCGGCAUCUACGACGACAACAGCCUGAGCCAAGACUUCGAGAAAGAUCCGGAACCGCCGAAAACUCCCCCGAACCCUCCCGGUGCCGACUCCACCCUGCCCGAGGAGGAGGACGAGGAUGAGGACGAGGAGGAGGAGGAGGAGGAAGAGCGCGAGGAAGGCUCCGAGACGAGGGCCGCCGGCCAACCGAACCGCCGCGCUCGGUGGACCUGGGCGGCAAAGGCCGCGCCGAGCGCGAGGCCCACCCCAAAUUCGACGGCAAACUCUCCUUGGAGGUGGUGACCCCCGGCAACCCCAAAGCGCCCCAAAACCCGGCGGCGCCGCCUCCAAGAACGCUGCGGCGCCACCCCGAAACCCUCCCGGCACCGCGGGCGCCGCGAGUGGGGCACGCCGGGCGACUCGGAGAUCGAGGAAGGGGAGAUCGUGCAGCCAGAGGAGGAGAGGUUCAGCCCAUUGAGGAUUUUCCGUGGCGGUGGCAGCGGUGGUGGUGGCACCACCGGGCCCGGCGCCGGCGCCGCCCGAGGCCGGCCGGAGCCGCGAGCGCCGCGUCUCCCCGAGGGCGGCGACGAUUUCCUGUCUCUCCACGCCGAUUCUGAUGAAGAAGCCGAUUUCGGCGCCGAAUCCCAACCGGAUCCGCGUUGGAAAAGCGGGGCGGCGGCGGGCGGCAACGCCGGCGGCGGUGGCGGCAACUCCGAUUUGAGGAGGAAAAUCCUCAGCCAGCGCCGGCUCCGCGCGCCGCCGCCGCCGCGUUCGCCGCUGGCCGCGCCCAGGAAGAAAUCCAAACGAUCCCGGGAACGCGGCGGCUCCGGGAGCGCCUGGGCCGGCGCCAAGAAAGCUCCGGAACCGGCGCCGAAAUCCAAAGAGCGACACCGGCGCCACGGGUCCAGGCCGCGGCUGCGCGCGCGGUCGCGGCGCUCAAGGUCGAGGGAGAAACGGCGCCGGCGCCGGCAGCUCCGGGCGGUCGCGGCACAAAGAGAAGCACCGCGGGGAGAAGAAGAAGAAGAAGCAACGCUCGAGGUCCCGGGAACGCCGCGGGUCGCGGAGGGACGGCGGCGACGGGAAAGCGGCGGAGAAGGGCGAUGGCGCGGCGCGGCGCUGGUGCCGCCCGGGUGCAGGAGCUGAACGACUCGGAUCUUUUUGCCAUCAAAAGAACCAUCACGGUGAAUCGGCGCGCGGCGACGCCGGAACCCAAACGGGAGGUUCUCUACGAUUCCGAAGGGUUGAGCUUUGAGGGAUUUUCCGACCGCGAGCACGCCGAGUUCCCGGCGAGGAAAACCGAGGUGAGGCCGGCGGCGGAGCCCGGAAAGAAGGAGAAGGAGAGGAAACGGAGCCGCCCCGAGGAGAGGCCGACGGGGAGGGAGAAAUACAAGAAAAAAUUCAAGGAUUACGCCGAGCCCGCCGCGGCGGAGAGCGGGAAAAGCAAAGAGAAGCAGCGCGAGAAAAGCGGCAGGAAAGGGAAAACGGGAGGCGGGCACAAGGAAGGGGCGGAAACGGCGGCGCCGGAAGCGCCCGCGGCGGCGCCCAGGAAGGUGAAGCUCCAAUCCAAGGUGUCGGUGUUGAUCCGGGAGGGCGUCAGCUCCACCACGACCACCAAAGACGGUGGAGGCGGCAGCGGCGGCGGCGGUGCCGGCAUCGGGGUGAAAUUCGCCCGCGAUGCCGAGAGCCGGGCGGCGUUCCUGAAAGCCGAGGAGAAAACGCAGAAAGGCACCCCCAAAAACGACGGGGGGCCGGCGCGAGACGGAGGUGUGAAACCGCGCAAGGUGAAAGCGCCCAAAGUCAAGGGAGGGGUGAAGAAAGUCAAAGUCAAAGCCAAGGGCGAGGCGAGGAAGAAGAGGAAGACCAAGGUGAAGAGCGGCGGCGGCGGCGCUUUGAAGAAAUCCAAAGCCGACAGCCAAAGCGCCGCCACCCCUCCUCUCCGUCUGCCCCCCAAACCCGAACCCACCUGGUCGGGCUCUGAAAAAUCCGCCGGGGGAACCCCAAAACCUCCCAGCCCCUCCUCGCCGCGGGCGCCACCCCCCAAACCCGCCCCCGCCCGCCGCCCGCCGAAGCGCGAAGCUCGCAGACGGUGGACAGCAGCUGCAAGACCCCCGACGUGUCCUUCCUGCCCGAGGAGGGCUCCGGGGAACCCCCCCAGAGCGCGGGCAGCGAGGGGACGGGCCCGGGGGAGCCCCCCGAGGGGGACCCUCGAGGCCACAGCCGCAGCGAGGGCAAGGAGGAGGCGGCGAGAGGGCGGGCGCCGGGGCGGGGACGGGUAACGGCGCGGGCGCCGGGGGGGCAGGCGGCGGGGACUGGCGCCACCAGCGCGGCACGGGUGACGGGGUCCCCGGGGUGUCCUUGUUUGGUCGG